RNAcentral lists this non-coding RNA (75 nucleotides) under Paraphysomonas imperforata. The record is from RNAcentral. Lineage: Eukaryota; Chrysophyceae; Chromulinales; Paraphysomonadaceae.
GCAACAACCCCAGUAGUGCAUCCACUGCAACAGCUGCGGGCCACGGAAAGGGUAUGUUUGGUGACCACGAGAAGG